AAAGGGAGACCUAAUUCAGGUAUGGGACGAAAAAAAAGUAGUCCCAACCAAGAAUCAAUCCCAAAAGGUCGGAGCGAGGCGAAAUUGGCUUUCAAACUAGGUUCUGGGUUCACACAAGACCUGAAUCAGGAACAAGGGCUAUUAGCUCAGGUGGUUAGAGCGCACCCCUGAUAAGGGUGAGGUCCCUGGUUCGAGUCCAGGAUGGCCCACCUGCACAGGUGGCAAAAACAAGAGAAGCUCCGAAUCAGCACCUUAUCUUACUUAUAUAGUAAGAGAGAAUGCUGGCCCUGAGUUCAGAGUCCAGAGGAACCUUGAAAACUGCAUAGAGCUAGGUGAAAAAGCCAAAAAAGAAGACCGCAAG
This 361-nucleotide transfer RNA is filed under the name uncultured Microcystis sp. RNAcentral describes it as "partial 16S-23S ribosomal RNA intergenic spacer". The stretch from base 136 to 209 matches the Rfam family "tRNA". Lineage: Bacteria; Bacillati; Cyanobacteriota; Cyanophyceae; Chroococcales; Microcystaceae. The record is from RNAcentral.